GUCUACGGCCAUACCACUCUGAACGCGCCCGAUCUCGUCUGAUCUCGGAAGCUAAGCAGGGUCGGGCCUGGUUAGUACUUGGAUGGGAGAGAAUCUCAGAAUAAUUUUCUUGGAUA
RNAcentral lists this ribosomal RNA (116 nucleotides) under Mustela putorius furo (domestic ferret). The record is from RNAcentral. Lineage: Eukaryota; Metazoa; Chordata; Mammalia; Carnivora; Mustelidae.